GCGCCUGUAGCUCAGCUGGAUAGAGCAGCGGACUUCUAAUCCGCAGGCCGGGGGUCCGAAUCCCUCCAGGCGCAUCA
This 77-nucleotide transfer RNA is filed under the name Deltaproteobacteria bacterium. RNAcentral's name for it is "tRNA-Arg". It matches the Rfam family "tRNA". Rfam says of the family: Transfer RNA (tRNA) molecules are approximately 80 nucleotides in length. Their secondary structure includes four short double-helical elements and three loops (D, anti-codon, and T loops). Further hydrogen bonds mediate the characteristic L-shaped molecular structure. tRNAs have two regions of fundamental functional importance: the anti-codon, which is responsible for specific mRNA codon recognition, and the 3' end, to which the tRNAs corresponding amino acid is attached (by aminoacyl-tRNA synthetases). tRNAs cope with the degeneracy of the genetic code in two manners: having more than one tRNA (with a specific anti-codon) for a particular amino acid; and 'wobble' base-pairing, i.e. permitting non-standard base-pairing at the 3rd anti-codon position. RNAcentral also lists the same sequence under 1 other name. The record is from RNAcentral. Lineage: Bacteria; Pseudomonadati; Myxococcota; Myxococcia.